GAUCCUGACCUGUCCCACUGGGGACAUCACUCUCCGGCUCAGCCGGAUCUCUCACACUGCCCUGGACCUGCCCCACUGGGGCAGACCGCUGAGAAGAAGCCGCCAGAGCGAUCACCUCUCACUUGGAAAGAGGCUCAGCGGGAGUAAUAGAUUAAGCUGGCUGAGGAAAGCUUAUUCUAUUACAUGGUUGCUGGCUGGCAGAGAAUACUCCUGUUCUUGCUGCCAAAACAGAGAGCAGACCAUAUGGGACAGAUGAUGAAGGAGCAAGCAGUGGCCAGAGGGAAUGUCAUCACAAGAGCCUGGAUUGUUUUCUUGUCUCCCUCUGCUGGCCAGAGGAUAUAGAACCCGCUGUGUGCACUGGCAUAGGAGGCUGUUGGAGAAAGAGGUUCAAUCAGUGCUAGGCACAUGUUACUUUUCCUUUUGCCUUGGUGAAACAAUAUGAAAUGUUUGCUUCACGUGCUGGCCCUCAGCACUUGCUGGGGAAAGGAGUGUUCUUGCUGUCUCUGUCUUUGCUAAAUUAAAUGUUAAGUACCUGCAAAUGCAAUGCUAUAUUGAUAGAUUUUCAAUCUGGAAAAAGCACGAUGGCCUUGUACAAUUACAGUAUGCGCCAGCAUACUUAUCUUCAUGAGCUUUGUCACUCUGCGAGGCUAAAACUAGCUGGCUGUAAAAUACCUGGCUUAAUGGAGAUAUCCAUCCUUUAGUGGGUGCACAGCACUAGCCUGAUCUAACAGCUCCUUGUGCAAACAGCAAUGAGGUGAGAAAUGAUGUUUCAUAAACCUAUCAGAAUGGAGGCAGCUUAGUGCCUUUGGAGAUGUAAUAAUUGUCUUCUCAUCCAAGCCUCCCUAUCUGCACGGAGCUCUAAAUCUGACUGGGACACUUUCAUUUAGAUGCUGACUAAUGGCCAAAAAUACACCUGCCACACAGCUGCCUUCCCUGAGAACUCAUUGUUUUAAUGCACUCGCUCAAAAUCCUUGGGACUCCCCCUCUGCUUUUCUGAGGUGCUUUCCUGUCUGAAGGCAUGUCUACACGGCAGGCGGAAACCCACGGCCGACACGGGGCUGAGGCUACGGCGCUAAACAUAGCUGUGUAGUCUUUGGAGCAAGGGCUCUGAAGCCUAAUGAGGGGGCUGGGCUCCAGAGCCUGAGCUGCAGCCUGAGCGUCUACACAACUGUUUUCAGUGCUGUAGCGUGAUCCUGAGUCAACAGACCCAGGCUCUGAGACUUGCUGCUGCGGGUUUCUGCUUGCUGUGUAGACGUACUCAGGGUUUGCUAGGCAGGGCCUCACAUCCUGCUCACUGUCAUCAGGGGAAGAGCCCCUUUGACCUCAGUCCUGUCCCAAGAUCUUUCCAGUUUUCACUUCCAGGAGACAAAUUCAGGGCUUGUGCUGGGAGAAACAGGCUUUGAAGAGUGGGAUAACAAAAAGGGGUAUUGCGUUCUCACCAGCCCUACUCACCCCACCCCCAGUUGCAGCAGUCCCUACUCUCCAGGCCUGGGCUCAGUUAUAGCACAUUGUUAAACUUAUUGAAAACUCAACAUCGUUGAGGAUUACCUGUCUGCUGCCACCUUGUGCCUGCACUUCCAUUCCUUUCUGGAGGACGGUGAGAUACUUCAGUUUCCAUACUGGAUCUCUUCUGGACUCUCUCUAGAACCUUUCUCUGUCUGUGACAAUCUAUUACUGUGGGAAAUCACCACCACACAUUGCUUUUAUUGCCCAAAGAGGAAACGAAAACAGGCCCCAUGUACACAAAGCAUUUGUUAUAACAAGCAAAUAAAUCUCAUGUGGAUCUGUUCUGGAACCCAAGUGUCA
This is a long non-coding RNA of Emys orbicularis (European pond turtle), 1806 nucleotides long. RefSeq lists it as uncharacterized. The record is from RefSeq and is a predicted model, not a curated record. The transcript is spliced from 2 exons. Lineage: Eukaryota; Metazoa; Chordata; Testudines; Emydidae.